This 253-nucleotide ribosomal RNA is filed under the name uncultured bacterium. RNAcentral's name for it is "partial 16S ribosomal RNA". It matches the Rfam family "Bacterial small subunit ribosomal RNA", at positions 524 to 776 of the family's 1533-position model. The record is from RNAcentral.
GACGGACCGAGCGAACGUUGUUCGGAAUCACUGGGUUUAAAGGGUGCGCAGGCGGCGCGUUAAGUCAGUGGUGAAAUCCCGCAGCUCAACUGUGGAACUGCCAUUGAUACUGGCGUGCUUGAGUACGGACGAGGUAGGCGGAAUUUAUGGUGUAGCGGUGAAAUGCAUAGAUACCAUAAAGAACACCGAUAGCGAAGGCAGCUUACUAGACCGUAACUGACGCUCAUGCACGAAAGCGUGGGGAUCGAACAGG